Molecule: long non-coding RNA, 2594 nt
Organism: Branchiostoma floridae (Florida lancelet)
Lineage: Eukaryota; Metazoa; Chordata; Leptocardii; Amphioxiformes; Branchiostomatidae
Exons: 3
Source: RefSeq, a predicted model, not a curated record
GCCCCCGCCCGUCGAUCAUGUGACUUAGCUUGCCAUCUUGGAAGAUCUGAAAUCAAGAUGGCGGAUGAGAUUUGGAGAACUUCAAAGAAAACUUUCCUACUGUUUAUACAACAACCAUUGGACUUGGCGUCAAACAAGAUUGGGAAAGUCACUUGCUGGAUAUUUUCCGUCGAGUUCAAUUCCCGAUGGUGACACCGAUGGAAGUGCACCUGUCUCUGCGGGCGGACCUGCGACCCGGAACCGACGACUUGGCGGGGAGCACCCGGUGAUUUCGCGUGAGGUGGUCAGAUUCGCCAAGUGCAGUGGAAAGUACGGCGCAACAGGUGUUUCUUGUUAGAAGACACCUUUUCGAGGCCGCCAUACCGACUUUUACCUAGUACAUACAUUUAUCAUGUGAAUUCUUUGUUUGAUAACUACGGAUUCUGUUCAUAUGCGAUAUACAGUACGUCAUUGAUAUUUGCUAUCCUUCAUAAAUUGUUCAUUACGUAUGCUUGUUGGAAUAAUUGCUUAAUCUUCUGUAUUUGUCGAUUCUGUUCAUGUGUACUCUAUCCUCUUAAGUAUGGAUAUAUACAUGUACACCACAUAGUGGUUAGACUGUAUAACCAGUGGUGUAAAUGAUACGUUAAACUCAACAUUUUGAUUUAUUCAUACGAUUGAACGUAGGUUUGUUUGCCAAAUAGCAAUUACUCAAGUAACUGGAUAUGAUUUUGAAAACAGUCAAACGUUUCAGAUAACAUCCAUUAUCUUUCGUCAGUGGCAUUGAAGAGAUCUUGUUAGAGAGCAGGUUUUCUAUCCUAGCUAUGAAUUGAUAUGCGCGGGAGAUGAGAACAAUUUUCUUGGUUAAAUCAUUUGUAUUCACUUGUGUUUUUUUCUCGUAUCGUACGGCUCGAGUUUACCUUACGCAUCUGGAAGUUGAUGAAAUUUUUCCGUGUCGUGUAAGAUUGUAGUCCAUGUCGUGUAAGAUUGUAGUAUAUAUCCUUCCUUUGUUGAUGCCUGUUCAGUCUAAAAGCGUUUUUAGCCUCUCUAGCACAAUAGAUUAAUACAAACUUGUACCGAUAUCAAAGAAAUCAUUGCGACUUUCAACUGUAUUUUAGACCAUUCCAAUAUAAGUGUUACUUAGUUGUUGCUAUCAUAAAAGUGGGUCCUAAUUUUGUAGAGUAUCGUAAAAUUUAUUGAUCAAAAACAUUUGUUGAAACGGAGCAAUUCAAACAAUAUCCUGCAAACCUUCUCUUGUAUCAGGUCCUUACAAAGUAAGCACCAUUAUUAUUUAUUCAAUCAUCGUAUUCAUUGUACAAUGAUAACAAUAGUCAACAAUUGCAUUUGCAAUCUAACAAUGUGAUCGACUAUUACAAUGGCAUUUUAUUCUAUUGCAUACAAAUGGUCAAUAGAGUAAGUUUGAUUCCGUGAAAUGAUAAGUGUACUAUGAUAUGCUUAACCUAUAUCUAUAAUUUCCAUGCUUCUUGAAACAUGUAAACGAGUUUACAGAAUAUAGUCUAUUACAUCGUAGCUGAAUGUGGACAUUACACAUAUAAACUAUUCCUCUAUUGUUAAAUGUAAAGACAGUAGAAUUGGUACUUAUACAUAUUCGUUAUUUGUUAGUACAAAUCCUAUGUAGCCCGAACACCACAACAUUUUAUCUUAUCCAGAAUCAAGUUUAGUGCGUAAGUUAUUCGUGAUUGUCCCACACAACGGCCUUUUCUAUGGAUUUGCAAAUUUAUUAAUUUGAUCUUUUAUAAUACACAAACAUCUCCAUAAACAGAUGAUGAGAUAUAUUUCCUAUUUGCAGAUAUUAUUAACUUUCAACACAACCUACAAAAGUGUCAAUGUACAUGUACUUACAUCUGUGUGUAUGUAUGUACAUGUAUGUAUGAAUUAUCUAUGCAUACACACUUUGAUAAAGAUCAAAAUGUUACAAAUUUACGCUAUUUGGUCUUCCAAAAUCUACUUGCAACUUCUGAUUAUGCUCAAUUUGAAAUGUACUCGGUGUCAUAUCGAUGUUUGGGUUAUGAUUGAUAUUGUAUAUAUAUACAAUCUGUUCAUAUGUGUAUAUUUGCUUCAAAUAACUUCACCACUGCACAGCAAACUUCAAGCUUUUACUUUUCAUGUUAAAUUAAUAACCAUGUAUGUGCUACUUUUUACAAUUUACAAGAACUAGACUGGGUGGUUUUCAUUCCUUUUUGUUGUUACGAGAUAUGCUAUAUGCAAUAAAAGCCGUAUUUACAAUACUGGUAGAUUAGGUCACUACUGAAGUAGGUCAUUUCAACAAAAUGAAGUGUUGUUAGUAUUGAAUGAUGAAGACGUAGUUCAGUCUGCAAAGAAGUGAAAUAUAGUUUUCAUCUUUUUUUCAUCUUUUUUUGGCAUUCAAUGUCAUUAUACGCACUAUAUGUUAAUCGGAAUGAGUGAAUAGACAAGCUUUUGAAUGCUAACUAAAUGUUCUUUCAUGUAUACAUUGACUUAUGUUUUUGCUCAAUGUUAUUGUUUUAUAUUUGUGUCUUUGAGAAUUGGGGUUGUCAUAAGCACUUUGCUAUUUUUCCCCAAUCCCCAAUAGAUAUAUGUGAAUAAAUUAAAUACAUAAGAUCAAUUUUGGGUUAAUG